ACUGCGAGUGAAGCGGGAAAAGCUCAAAUUUAAAAUCUGGCAGUCUUUGAUUGUCCGAGUUGUAAUCUGGAGAAGUGCUUUCCGCGCUGGACCGUGUACAAGUCUCUUGGAAUAGAGCGUCAUAGAGGGUGAGAAUCCCGUCUUUGACACGGACUACCGGUGCUUUGUGAUGCGCUUUCAAAGAGUCGAGUUGUUUGGGAAUGCAGCUCAAAAUGGGUGGUAAAUUCCAUCUAAAGCUAAAUAUUGGCGAGAGACCGAUAGCGAACAAGUACCGUGAGGGAAAGAUGAAAAGCACUUUGGAAAGAGAGUUAAACAGUACGUGAAAUUGCUGAAAGGGAAACACUUGAAGUCAGUCGCGUUGUUCAGAACUCAGCCUGGCCUUGGCCUGGUGCAUUUUCUGAAUGACGGGCCAGCAUCAAUUUCGACUGUUGGAUAAAGGUUAGGGAAAUGUGGCUUCUUCGGGAGUGUUAUAGUCCUUGGCUGCAUACAAUGGUUGGGAUUGAGGAACUCAGCAUGCCUUUAUGGUCGGGGUUCGCCCACGUUCAUGCUUAGGAUGCUGGCGUAAUGGCUUUAAAUGACCCGUCUUGAAACACGGACCAAGGAGUCUAACAUGCCUGCAAGUGUUUGGGUGGAAAACCCGAGCGCGCAAUGAAAGUGAAAGUUGGGAUCCCUGUCGUGGGGAGCACCGACGCCCGGACCAGACCUUCUGUGACGGAUCCGCGGUGGAGCAUGUAUGUUGGGACCCGAAAGAUGGUGAACUAUGCCUGAAUAGGGUGAAGCCAGAGGAAACUCUGGUGGAGGCUCGUAGCGAUUCUGACGUGCAAAUCGAUCGUCAAAUUUGGGUAUAGGGGCGAAAGACUAAUCGAAC
This 868-nucleotide ribosomal RNA is filed under the name Meripilus cf. furcatus RS-2021. Its description in RNAcentral is "Physisporinus cf. furcatus RS-2021 partial 28S ribosomal RNA". It matches the Rfam family "Eukaryotic large subunit ribosomal RNA", at positions 86 to 940 of the family's 3401-position model. The record is from RNAcentral. Lineage: Eukaryota; Fungi; Basidiomycota; Agaricomycetes; Polyporales; Meripilaceae.